Molecule: ribosomal RNA, 320 nt
Filed under: uncultured eukaryote
Lineage: Eukaryota
Description: partial 18S ribosomal RNA
Rfam family: Eukaryotic small subunit ribosomal RNA
Source: RNAcentral
CCCCUAGAUGUUCUGGGCCGCACGCGCGCUACACUGAACAGUUCAACAAGUCUUAACCUUGGCCGAUAGGUCUGGGUAAUCUUUGAACGCUGUUCGUGAUUGGGAUAGACCUUUGCAAUUAUGGGUCUUCAACGAGGAAUUCCUAGUAAACGCAAGUCAUCAGCUUGCAUUGAUUACGUCCCUGCCCUUUGUACACACCGCCCGUCGCACCUACCGAUUGAAUGGUCCGGUGAAAUCUCGGGACGGCGGCUUGGUCGCUUGCGUCCGACUGCUGAAACUUGAUUAAACCAUAUCAUUUAGAGGAAAGUGAAGUCGUAACA